GACGAACGCUGGCGGCGUGCCUAAUACAUGCAAGUAGAACGCUGAAGAGAGGAGCUUGCUCUUCUUGGAUGAGUUGCGAACGGGUGAGUAACGCGUAGGUAACCUGCCUGGUAGCGGGGGAUAACUAUUGGAAACGAUAGCUAAUACCGCAUAAAAUUGAUUAUUGCAUGAUAAUUAAUUGAAAGAUGCAAUUGCAUCACUACCAGAUGGACCUGCGUUGUAUUAGCUAGUUGGUGAGGUAACGGCUCACCAAGGCGACGAUACAUAGCCGACCUGAGAGGGUGAUCGGCCACACUGGGACUGAGACACGGCCCAGACUCCUACGGGAGGCAGCAGUAGGGAAUCUUCGGCAAUGGGGGGGAACCCCUGACCCGAGCAAACGCCGCGUGAAGUGAAAGAAAGGUUUUCGGAUCGUAAAAGCUUCUGUUGUAAAG
RNAcentral lists this ribosomal RNA (434 nucleotides) under Streptococcus sanguinis. Its description in RNAcentral is "bacterial SSU rRNA". It matches the Rfam family "Bacterial small subunit ribosomal RNA", at positions 28 to 443 of the family's 1533-position model. The record is from RNAcentral. Lineage: Bacteria; Bacillati; Bacillota; Bacilli; Lactobacillales; Streptococcaceae.